Molecule: transfer RNA, 87 nt
Filed under: Hadesarchaea archaeon
Lineage: Archaea; Methanobacteriati; Hadarchaeota (SeqCode); Hadarchaeia (SeqCode)
Also listed under: 1 other name
Description: tRNA-Leu
Rfam family: tRNA
About the family: Transfer RNA (tRNA) molecules are approximately 80 nucleotides in length.
Source: RNAcentral
GCGGGGGUGCCUGAGAGGCGAAAGGGCAGGACUUAAGAUCCUGUGGCCGUAGGGCCCUCGAGGGUUCGAAUCCCUCCCCCCGCACCA